AGGUUAUAGCUUAGUGGUAGAGCACGUGCCUAUUAGCAUGCUCGAGGUCCUGGGUUCAAUCCCCAGUACCUA
This 72-nucleotide transfer RNA is filed under the name Camelus bactrianus (Bactrian camel). It matches the Rfam family "tRNA". From Rfam's summary of the family: Transfer RNA (tRNA) molecules are approximately 80 nucleotides in length. Their secondary structure includes four short double-helical elements and three loops (D, anti-codon, and T loops). The record is from Rfam by way of RNAcentral. RNAcentral also lists the same sequence under 1 other name. Lineage: Eukaryota; Metazoa; Chordata; Mammalia; Artiodactyla; Camelidae.